UGCCAAUGGAAGGUUUUCUGCGUUUAGUCAAUCUACGCAGAGUGAAUCAGUCCCUAAGGAUUCCCCGAAAGGGGUGCCGUCCAAUGGGUACACCAAAGUGACGAAGUUUCUUUGACUACAGAACCAUGCCUUUCUGUUGGAGUGAAUUGGAUAAUCGGGCGGAGGGCUUCCCACUCUUCCCCCACUCUUCUUUCCCUAAUAUAAACCUUGAGUCAUCAAAGCCUUUCUUACUCGGCUGGGCCCGAUCUCCCUACGCGACUGGCGCUUCAACAGGCGAAACUCUCCGUCAUAGUUUGGUGACCUAUGUUAAGUAGGGGCCUUUAGACUUUUGAUUAGAGUAGGGGUCGCGAGAGAGCUGAGCGUACUGCACUUCCAUAGUCACGAGUCUAUUUGUAUUCGCGGCUAUUGUCAUAAUCAACAAGGUUUACGCUUCUAGUAAAAAACGUCGAAUAUGGAAGGGCGAUCCUCCCGGUGAACUGACCGUACCCCAAACCAACACAGGUUAACAAGUAGAGUAUACUAGGGCGCCUGAGAGAACCAUGUCGAAAGAACUCGGCAAAAUGACCCCGUAAAUUCAAGAGAGGUGUGCUCUCCUAUAUUUUGAUUAGGAAAUCGGCACGUAGCAGGGGGUAGCGACUGUUUAUUAAAAACACAGGACUCUUCUAAGUGGUAACACGAUUUUAUAGAGUCUGACACCUGUCCGUUGCUGGAAGGUUUGAAGGAGAAGUGUUAUAAGGUUUGAAUGGAAGCCCCGGUAAAUGGAAGCAGUAACUCUAACUAUCCUAAGGUAGCAAAAUUCCUUGUCGCAUAAGUAGCGACCUACACGAAUGGUGUAACGACUGCCCUGUUUUCUCCGACAUGGAUCCGGUGCAAUUAAAUUCUACGUGAAGAUACGGAGUACCAACGGCUAGACGGUAAGACCCUGUGCACCUUAACUAUAGCUUCGCAGUGACAACCUUAAUAGAAUGUGUAGGAUAGGUGGGAGGUGGUGACACACAACGACCGAUCCUAAAAGACCGCUCUUUCGUCUAAGGAUGCCUAACCUCCGCACCGAUUAUUCGGGGGGAGGCGGGACAUUGCGAGUUGGGUUUGUCAGGGGCGGAUGCCUCCUAAAGAGUAUCGGAGGUGUGCGAAGGUAGGCUCAAGCUAAGAUUGUGCUCGUGAGCAUAAUGUCAUAAGUCUUCCUGACUGUGAGACCGACUAGUCGAACAGAGAUAAAAGUCGGCCAUAGUGAUCCGGGAGUCCCGUUGAAAGGCUAUCCCUCAACGGAUCAAAGUUAAACCGGGGAUAAAAGGCUGAUGACUCCCAAAAGCUCUUAGCAACGGAAUCAUUUGGUACCUCGAUGUCGACUCAUCACAUCCAGGUGUUGAAGAAGGUCCCAAGGGUUUGAUUGUUGCUGAUUCAAGUGGUGCAUGAGUUGGGUUUAUAAUGGCGUGAGACAGUUUGGUUCCUAUCUACCGUUUGUGUUAAAGGGAAAACUGCGAGGAGCCAACCCUAGUAAGAGAGGACUGGUUUGGGAUAACGUAUGGUGUACCGGCUGUUAUGCCAAUAGCAGCGCCGGGCAGCAGUUGAUAUGGAAGAACUGCUGCGCCACAGGAAAUCCUUCUCUAUACAAGUUCUCGAACGAGGUUUUUUAACAGAACUUCGAUAGGCGAGAGGUGUAAGCAUUGUGAGAUGUGAAGAGAUCUCGUCCUAAACGAAA
Molecule: non-coding RNA, 1702 nt
Filed under: Solanum lycopersicum (tomato)
Lineage: Eukaryota; Viridiplantae; Streptophyta; Magnoliopsida; Solanales; Solanaceae
Description: Archaeal large subunit ribosomal RNA
Rfam family: Bacterial large subunit ribosomal RNA
Source: Rfam by way of RNAcentral